Molecule: ribosomal RNA, 253 nt
Filed under: uncultured bacterium
Lineage: Bacteria
Description: partial 16S ribosomal RNA
Rfam family: Bacterial small subunit ribosomal RNA
Source: RNAcentral
GACGAACCGUGCAAACGUUGUUCGGAAUCACUGGGCUUAAAGGGCGCGUAGGCGGCUUGCAUAGUCGGUGGUGAAAUCCUGCAGCUUAACUGUAGAAGUGCCUCCGAUACUAGCAAGCUCGAGGGAGGUAGGGGUCUGCGGAACUUCUGGUGGAGCGGUGAAAUGCGUUGAUAUCAGAAGGAACGCCGGUGGCGAAAGCGGCGGACUGGACCUCUUCUGACGCUGAGGCGCGAAAGCUAGGGGAGCAAACGGG